UCGCAGCGUGAGCGGCAGUCGCUGAAGCCGAAAGCCGUUUGUAUUUGGCAACUCAUAACUAAGCACUCGUUUGUGACACCACGCUUGUGCCAGGUUCCAUCGUACGUCACGGUGAUGUCCUUGCAAAAGCUGGGGUCCUUUUUUUAUAUAUGCAGUAAUCACUGCUGCAGCAAAAUAGGCAUAACUUGUCCAAAGUGGUGGCCUCUGGCUCCCUGAAUGUCCCUUUCAGAUGCUUUUGAAACGUCUUGUGGUGCAGACCUCUGUGAGGGAUGUUCAUUGCUUCCCAAGAAUUGUUGAGAGCUGUUCGCCCCUUGCCUAUUUGCUUCAUAGCCAUUAUGGUGCACACAUUUACGUCAAAGGCCUGCGAAUCCUCAAACCUCAUCACGUGAGUGCAGUCAUAGAGCCAGUUCUGUUGGGUCACACUUGCGAUUCCUUCCUGCAGCAGCUUCUCAAUGUACUUUGCAUUGGUAAGAAAAAAGGUCAUUACAAGACAAAAAUAUUGAAGAGAACAGUAUGACAGCCAUGGGAAACAAGAGCAGUUUAUGUACAAGCACACAGUGCGCAUGGCUGUAAGGUCACUUGAUACACACAUUUGACAAUAAAAAAAGAUUCACACAAUACACUGUACUGUUAACACUGGAUACCGGAACAUUGAAAAACCACAAAGGAAAUUGCGAUACAUUGUCCGUAAACCUAGGUUUUUUUCGCGACCUUUUCGAUCGACGAGGCACACGUUGUGCCGAAGCACUUCCUUGUGGGGCAGAAAGUAACGCGGAUGUUGAGCCUUCUGGCUCAUUUAAGCGCUGCUCAGGAACAUCUGAGAGCGGGGAAGAAUAAUGAAUCGAAAGACUCGCUCAAGCGCCCCUCAGCACUGGCUGGGGACGGAGAAUUAUGACGCGGCGCAUGGGAGCCUGACGGCUCUGAAUUACCAUAUAAUGCGGAAUAUAGGUCGACCCCCUUACCUUGACCAGCAAAAAAAGAAAAGAAAAACAUGGAACUGUUCACUGAUGCACUUAAUUCAGUCCUCCGAACUGUCGGAGCUCUCCUCCGAGGACGACUGCUUUUCGCUAGCCGCCUCCCACAACAUGUCGUCCUCGGUGCCGUCGAGAGCGUUGCUGAUGCAGCACUUCCUAAAUGCGCGCACCACUAUUUCUUCAGGCAGAGACCUCCAUGCCUCGGAGACCUAAGCACAAACUGUCGCGAGAGGUGGCCUGCGCAGCCGGCCUGUUGGGGUCUGCUGGUGUAGCCAGCCAUCCAUUCAUUGUAAAACGCACGCACACUGUCUUUAAAAGGCUUGUUAAGGACGACGUCCAGCGGUUGCAACGUUGACGUCAUCCCUCCCGGAAUGACGACAAGAUCGGUCUUCCCGUCACGAAGUGUCUCCUUCACUCAUGCCGUCAAAAGCCCUCACGUUUUUCGAGCGUUUUGGGUGUCGGCGGAGACUUGAUGCCGCGAAGGUCGCCGGGCGCAGCGAGUGCCGAAGCGCACCUUCCAGCUCGCGCGGCGUUCGAUAUAUCCGAUGGCGGGUAAAAAUACCGUUCGAUAUAAGCAUGCGAAUUUCUUUACUUUUACAAAGGAUAUUCAAGGGGAUAAUUUACUAGUUUGAUAUAGCCGAAAAUUCUAUAUUGGUGGGUUUGAUAUUUCGACUGUAGUUGCCUGUUGGCAGACACCUGUGAGAGCGUGUCAGCUCUGUCUGCUGCCAUGGUUGUUUGUGGGGUGUCAGUCACUCACCCGAACUACUCGUCCUGUCGAACUGCUGGCCCCCCAUUUGGUGGGGUUCCUAUUGAAUACACAAAUCCGUGCGUGUAAGCCUGUCCCUUUGGAAUAAAUCCAUAGGUUUUGUCUUCAGGGAGUACUGCAAGGGUUCUAAUGUUUGUGUAUCUCAAUCCAUGUUUGCUAAGGGAGUUAAAGUUGCUUCAACCUCCAUUCUGUUUGAGUUCACAUCUGUGUUUUUGUGGCAGGCAUGAUAAUUUCCAAUCACUGUUGCCUUCAUCACUAUUUGGGGCUAGCAUGCACAGGGUUGCGCUUGCCAUUGCCUCAGAUGCGGAACGUCAUAGAGGGGCUGCAUCUUCUGUUACAUUUUGAUAAAGUCCAAAGUAAAGUUAGAACACAUUUCGUCAUUAAACACCUGGAUUGCUCGUUGAAGGCACUUGUCGUCCAGGCAAAUCGACUGAAACACCGGGUUAGCCAGACCACUUGGCGAUGUGUACAAUGUUUGUCAAUGGCGAUGCGGGGUUUUCGCGCAGCCACUCAUAGAUAUGGAUUCUUCUAAUUGUCCUUUUGCACGUUUUCGGCACUUUGCACCCUUUCCUGUGCGUACCUAGUCAAUUCCUCCACUGUUCGUGUGACCUCCACAGGUUGUCGUCACAUGCAACUGAAUGCAAAAGUUUCGGGUGCAGUAUUUCCAGAACUCAGCCAGCCUCAUGUCGAGUACAUAUUAAGCGCUCCGCAUGCAAGUCUUUGAUGACAAUAUAGAGCAAACAAAGAGCCAAUAACGUGCAUCGCUGUUAUUUAUUCACUCAGUGAAAACUUAACUGAUAUGGAAGCAUUCAGUCUCCAAAUAACGACUCAAGAAUGACCCCUACUCAUGCUUACAAGUGACACAUCGCAAAAGGAAAGGAACCAGCUCCAGCAGCAGUCUUAAGAAAGUAUUACACAGACUAAGUAAUGCUGUGCCCGCAUGCGAAAAUGGCAAAUCUACAGUGUAUGUUUUGAGACAACUCGUGUCGAGUUGUCUCGAAACUUCAUGUCUAACGUUGCGACCCCAAUCGUGUCCUCCCAUUUUGAGGUAUUCCAAUACUCGCGGCUAACUGUUGAAAUGCUAGAUGAAAUAGUAGAGGUCCCAUGUGCUUGUAGACCAAGUUGACGAGCGAUUUGGUCAUCUGACAAAGCCAGCGAAGAUAACGCAUGUGCCGUUACUCUUACUGCAGUCGUGGAAGACCAUGACGUGUGGGAGUCUAGUCCCUUGUCUGUGGAGUGCGGCGGCAGCGAUUCUGUAUUGGGUGGGCCGUUGCUCGAUUCCUCGGAUAAUGUCGCGACAAAUUGUCUCAGCAUCUCUAGCAGGAAACACAUCGAGCACAAGUUUUCUUUGUUUUGGAACUGACUAGCUGCAAUGCCCAGCAGGGAGGGGAUUGUAAACCUUUUUCAUCUCCGCUUGUUCCUGGUUCGGACACGUUUAAAACCUGUCCCAUGCCUCGAUCAGGUUCCACAAGUUUCUCCAUAGUUUCAUUAAUGUCCUACGCACAGUUCUCAUUGCUCAAACCAAUAGAUUUUGUAGUUUGUUCCUGGGAACAUAGAUGGCGUCACCAGAAAAGAAUGUUUUUUUCCUUUAGGGAACCGCCUACUCAACCAGGCUAUAGAGGUUAUUAACAAAGGCAAAUACUUCCUCGGUAAGAGUGACAAUCUAGAGAUGCCAAGUGGCAAUUAUUUGAUUUAAUUUGUCCACGCCGAGCAUUCCGAUAUUGUAUUCUUGAUUAAGGAGGGGCUUUUUUAUGAUAUUCACAACCCCCUGCCCCCCCUCCCCCUUUUCUCUCCUCUUUUAGCAGCAACAUGUUUAUUUGCCGUGUGCAUCGUGCUCAUCAAGCUCACAGAAUGCCUCUCUGCACACACUCAGUGAGCAAAGGUGCAGACUGCGACACAGCAAAAUAUACUGUUCUAUUUAAACAACACAUUACACUUAAUUGCUUCUGGCACCACCCCAAAACACAGUACAACUAACUUCCACUUGCCGAGACGCAAGGGUGCAAAGGGGGAACCGCAGGCAUGUCACAGCUUGCAAAGGUGACAUUGACACACUGCUUGGGAAAAGGUCCCUAGUGGCUAUGCUGACUUUUCUGCUUGUCGGUGUCAGUGUAGUCGAAAUAUGGAAAGCGUUGACCAAGAACUGUGGGCGUUAGGUUCAAAGUUUUAUAUUGAUGGAGCUGCCACAUUCCUAUGUAUGUUUCUUCGAUUACAAAAGUGUCAAAAAGGAGCUUUCCCAAGGCCAUCGGGUAGAUCUUCUUGUAUUAUUUAGUAGAGGACAUGCUGUUCACUUGUAGCGCCACAUGCUGUGGUUCAAGGCAUCGUCAUCUGGAAAUACUUCAUUGUUUGAGAGCACAACGGCGGGUGUCCUGGAAAUUGUCUGCUCAGCAGAAUAUUUGACAUGCUCAAGAAUCUAUGCCACCACCAAACAUUUUCUUGAUUGUAUGAAAAGCAGAAGGCUCGCAGUGUGGCUCGUUCCACUGCAGUGUGCGACCGCCAAUGGUGUCCUGUAGUGAAAAGCUAGUGUAGCGGUUAGAUUCUGGAAUUGUGCUGCGGUUUAUGUAACAGGAAAGGAUAGGGUUGAAGAAACUUGCUGCACUUGGAGGGGACUGCAAAAGGGUCGUUAGACUGGGCGAGCAGGUUCAGGUCAUAGUUUAAACAGCACACAAGACAGAAGCACAAGACAAGGAAGACCACAGGACAAGGCACUGGAGUAACAGCUGACAGGUGUAUUGUGGAGUGGGAGAAAUACAUACACAAAAACAACCUCUUUGCAUGCGCAUCCAGCGCCACCAUACACUCUCCACUACUGUACGGGACACAAUCUCCAUACAGUCUUUUUGGGGGGACCGCCUUCCUGGCCAGGCUGUAGAGGUUAUUCACAAAGGCAGAUGCUUCCUAAUGGAUGCCGUUAAACUGAAAGUUUGAGUUCUAUCAUGACAUCAAACGAUGCGGGCACAUCCAUGUAUAAGGUAGUGAGAUCACCGUGCGGAGCAUCAAAGAGGGGCUGCAUGUUCUGGUACAUUUCAGUAAAGUCCAAAGUAGAGUUAAGAACACAUUUCAUCAUUAAGCAUCUGGAUUGCUCGUUGGAGGCGCUUGUCGUCUAGGCGAAGAACCGAAACAGUGGGUGUUACAAGCUGCCACUCUAGCGUCGCCAGCGCGAAGUCUGCGACGGGAAUGACAGCAGGUUAGGUUGUUCGCUGCGUAAGCAGAGACAGUGAAGAGAUUACUUUACUCUAGUAAUAUUGCAGCUCAAGAAAUCUAGUACAACACUCAAUACCAACUAACAAAAUAGAUACAAAAUCAGUCAAUCAGUUUACAAGAGAGAAGUAUUACAAACUACACAAAACUAACAAACAAUAGAACUAUUGAUGAGAAAGUUCGAGAAUAUAAACAGGUAAAGGUAUAUGUGUGAUAACCGGCAGCGUUGAGUCCACGACGAUCAGAUGUGAGAAGUCAGAGAGAGUUGUGGCACAACGGCGAUGUCAGCGGUGUUGCAACGCUGGUGUUUCCGGGAGGCUAGUGCUUGAAGCCGAUCUCGAGCAGGUUGAGCUAACUCGAGAUUGAAGUCCCGAUGCCUGUGUUGCAGACGUUAAGGGCCAGCCGAUACAGAGCCACACUAAAGACUUCUAGAAGGGAGACUUCGAAAGUUUCGAACACAUAUUUUGGUCUAAAAUGACCCUGCACAGUAGCUAGAUGUGUCCUUUGGGACUCUUUUCCUUUGCCGCUUUUCCUGCUUGUGUUGCAUCCAUUUCUGAGCCUUUUUCAGACGAGAGAGUCUUUCUCCGCAGCCCGUUGGUUGGUUAGGUGGCCAGGUGUGAGCCCUACCGACGACGACAACUCUUGGGUGGCCCUGUAGCAGCCGGCGUUGUAUCUCAGAACUGCCUCAUGCAGUGCUGUCUCCACAGCUAUCAACGAUGCAUGCUGUUCCUUGGGCAUCAAGGACCAUAAGACAGGGUGCAACGAUUCCGACUCAUUUUGAGUCUUUGCUCCCAGGCAGCGUUGCAGAAGGGAAGCCUGUGAAAGGCGCUGAUAGACAGGCAGCAAUGCGUUUGCAACGUAGCCUGGAAGAUUGUACUUGUGCUUUGGAGGUGGCACACCAUUCGCCUUGCUGCCGUCAUGACGGCACCACGAUUCCACACCUUCCGGGCACAAGUCAUGGUGAGGGUCCGUGUCAGUGGAGGUGACGUGAUGAAAUGAUGCCAUCACUGCACGCUGCAUUGCAGCCACAUCACUGGAAUUGUUCCGCAAUGCCCAGCCAUAAUAAUCCGUCAACUUAUCAAUAAGGGCUUUCGUCAACCUGCCCUUCCCUCCUAGAGCUUGCUCCAACCAGCUUGCGGAGCCAGUGUCCUCGGGCUUCAGUCCCAACUGGCAGCCGAGGCACUGAUUUGACAACACUACGGCAUCUAAGAUGAGGCCUGUGUGGUACUCGAUGACUGCACCAACUCCAAUGUGGGAUGUAUGUCCACGCUUGUGCCAGGUCCCAUCAUAGUUCACUGUGAUGUCCCUGCAGAAAGAUGGGUUCAUCUCCUUGUACGUCUUUUUCACGGCAGAAGCCGAUUCUGCGUAGAAUUUUUCCAGGGUCUGUUCCUGUGGUUCCCUGAAUUGCUUCAGAUGCCUCUGGAAUGUUCUAUGGUGCAGGCCACGGUGGGAAACAUUCAUAGUUGCCCAAAAGUCGUUGAGGGCUGUCUGCCCUUUCCCUAUUUGCUUCAUGGCCACAAUGGCCCUUAUAUUCACGUCGAAGGCCUUUGACUCGUUCUGGCGAGCAGAACUCCACGAGCUCGAAACUACUCCACAGUGUUCACAUACUAGCUGAAGCUUCGUGGCAAGUCCAAGCUGGGUGCCUUCUUGGAACUUCACCCCAGUCGCGAGGCAGCGCGGGCACGGGGACUUAAACAGCAGGUCGCUAAGGGCAUCCCCUUGCACGAGGAAA
Long non-coding RNA from Rhipicephalus sanguineus (brown dog tick), 6673 nucleotides. RefSeq lists it as uncharacterized. NCBI's taxonomy places the organism in Eukaryota, Metazoa, Arthropoda, Arachnida, Ixodida, Ixodidae. The transcript is spliced from 2 exons. The record is from RefSeq and is a predicted model, not a curated record.